RNAcentral lists this ribosomal RNA (622 nucleotides) under uncultured bacterium. RNAcentral describes it as "bacterial SSU rRNA". It matches the Rfam family "Bacterial small subunit ribosomal RNA", at positions 338 to 1212 of the family's 1533-position model. The record is from RNAcentral.
CCUACGGGAGGCAGCAGUGGGGAAUAUUGCGCAAUGGGGGAAACCCUGACGCAGCAACGCCGCGUGAGUGAGGAAGGACUUCGGUCUGUAAAGCUCUGUUAAUGAGGAAAAAAUGGUAGUUGGUCUAAUAGGCCGAUUAUUUGAUGGUACUCAUAGAGGAAGCACCGGCUAACUUCGUGCCAGCAGCCGCGGUAAUACGAAGGGUGCAAGCGUUGUUCGGAUUUAUUGGGCGUAAAGCGCGCGUAGGCGGACCUGCAAGUAAGAUGUGAAAUCUCGAGGCUCAACCUCGAAACUGCGUCUUAAACUACAGGUCUAGAAUCUCGGAGGGGGAAGGGGAAUUUCGCAUGUAGGGGUAAAAUCCGUAGAUAUGCGAAGGAACACCAGAGGCGAAGGCGCCUUCCUGGACGAGUAUUGACGCUGAGGCGCGAAAGCGUGGGGAUCAAACAGGAUUAGAUACCCUGGUAGUCCACGCUGUAAACGAUGAACACUAGGUAUUGGAGGAUUUGACCCCUUCAGUGCCGUAGCUAACGCGUUAAGUGUUCCGCCUGGGAAGUCGGUCGCAAGCUAAAACUCAAAGAGUAGUACGCGNGNGAGAGCGACGACGACGACGACGGAGGAGGAG